CCUUCUACCCUGGCCCUGACUCAGUCAAUACAGUCUCCCCUCUCUGUCUGUCCUCAGUGUCUGUCCUCAGUGUCUGUCCUCAGUGUAUUAGAGCAUGUGCAUAUAAUCCCUUUUCCUGCUCUCUGGGAGUUUGCAUACAUUUCGGUCAUAAGCUACAUUUAAACUAAGAUAGUUGGUUGUAAAUGUAAGUUGGAAAGCUUGAAAAUGAAUUCCCAGCUUGCUGAGGCUUUGUACUGUAUCUUGUGCAAGCCUCCCAUUAGAGAUUUGAUUGAUCAAUUUCUUUAUCUACUAACACACCACAUCUUCCUCACAACCGACACACAACCCCCUUCCCAAACUGAGCACUCACUAACAGUAGGCUGAUAGACUAGGAUAGAUAUGGUAGGCUGAUAGACUAGGAUAGAUACAGUAGGCUGAUAAACUAGGAUAGAUACAGUAGGCUGAUAGACUAGGAUAGAUAUGGUAGGCUGAUAGACUAGGAUAGAUACAGUAGGCUGAUAGACUAGGAUAGAUAUGGUAGGCUGAUAGACUAGGAUAGAUACAGUAGGCUGAUAGACUAGGAUAGAUAUGGUAGGCUGAUAGACUAGGAUAGAUAUGGUAGGCUGAUAGACUAGGAUAGAUACAGUAGGCUGAUAGACUAGGAUAGAUACAGUAGGCUGAUAGACUAGGAUAGAUAUGGUAGGCUGAUAGACUAGGAUAGAUAUGGUAGGCUGAUAGACUAGGAUAGAUACAGUAGGUUGAUAAACUAGGAUAGAUACAGUAGGCUGAUAGACUAGGAUAGAUAUGGUAGGCUGAUAGACUAGGAUAGAUAUGGUAGGCUGAUAGACUAGGAUAGAUACAGUAGGCUGAUAGACUAGGAUAGAUACAGUAGGCUGAUAGACUAGGAUAGAUACAGUAGGUUGAUAAACUAGGAUAGAUACAGUAGGCUGAUAGACUAGGAUAGAUAUGGUAGGCUGAUAGACUAGGAUAGAUACAGUAGGCUGAUAGGCUAGGAUAGAUACAGUAGGCUGAUAGACUAGGAUAGAUAUGGUAGGCUGAUAGACUAGGAUAGAUACAGUAGGCUGAUAGACUAGGAUAGAUACAGUAGGCUGAUAAACUAGGAUAGAUAUGGUAGGCUGAUAGACUAGGAUAGAUAUGGUAGGCUGAUAGACUAGGAUAGAUACAGUAGGCUGAUAGACUAGGAUAGAUACAGUAGGCUGAUAGACUAGGAUAGAUAUGGUAGGCUGAUAGACUAGGAUAGAUACAGUAGGCUGAUAGACUAGGAUAGAUACAGUAGGCUGAUGGACUAGGAUAGAUACAGUAGGCUGAUAGACUAGGAUAGAUACAGUAGGCUGAUAGACUAGGAUAGAUACAGUAGGCUGAUAGACUAGGAUAGAUACAGUAGGUUGAUAAACUAGGAUAGAUACAGUAGGCUGAUAAACUAGGAUAGAUGCAGUAGGCUGAUAGACUAGGAUAGAUACAGUAGGCUGAUAAACUAGGAUAGAUGCAGUAGGCUGAUAGACUAGGAUAGAUACAGUAGGUUGAUAAACUAGGAUAGAUACAGUAGGCUGAUAAACUAGGAUAGAUGCAGUAGGCUGAUAGACUAGGAUAGAUACAGUAGGCUGAUAAACUAGGAUAGAUGCAGUAGGCUGAUAGACUAGGAUAGAUACAGUAGGCUGAUAAACUAGGAUAGAUACAGUAGGCUGAUAAACUAGGAUAGAUACAGUAGGUUGAUAAACUAGGAUAGAUACAGUAGGUUGAUAAACUAGGAUAGAUACAGUAGGCUGAUGGACUAGGAUAGAUACAGUAGGUUGAUAAACUAGGAUAGAUACAGUAGGUUGAUAAACUAGGAUAGAUACAGUAGGCUGAUAGACUAGGAUAGAUACAGUAGGCUGAUGGACUAGGAUAGAUACAGUAGGCUGAUAAACUAGGAUAGAUAUGGUAGGCUGAUAUAGGAUAGAUAUGGUAGGCUGAUAGACUAGGAUAGAUACAGUAGGCUGAUAGACUAGGAUAGAUACAGUAGGCUGAUGGACUAGGAUAGAUACAGUAGGCUGAUAGACUAGGAUAGAUACAGUAGGCUGAUAGACUAGGAUACAGUAGGGCUGUCUGAAAUUGCACCUUAUUCCCUACUUAGUGCACUACUUUUGACCAGUGGCAAAAGGGAAUAGGGUUCCUUUUGGAACGCACACUAGGUGUUUGAGUUGUGAUUGUGUGUUGACUUGUUUAAUCCCUGUUA
Molecule: long non-coding RNA, 2215 nt
Organism: Oncorhynchus keta (chum salmon)
Lineage: Eukaryota; Metazoa; Chordata; Actinopteri; Salmoniformes; Salmonidae
Exons: 4
Source: RefSeq, a predicted model, not a curated record